Solea solea (common sole) is the source of this 398-nucleotide long non-coding RNA. RefSeq lists it as uncharacterized. The transcript is spliced from 3 exons. The record is from RefSeq and is a predicted model, not a curated record. Lineage: Eukaryota; Metazoa; Chordata; Actinopteri; Pleuronectiformes; Soleidae.
UUUGUUUAUAUCAGUGUGUGUCAUGACACGUCCAAAGUUCAGGCCCUGUCCAUCUUGCCAGACACUCAAUGCUGCAAGCCUCAAAACUUGCAGCAUGUGUUAUGUGAGCCUGUCAAUGAAGAAGAAGUUGAAGGAAAAGACAGCAUCAUUGGACAGCAAGUGGGGUCAAGGUGCGAAAACUUGAGGCCAUAGGCUACAAGCCCAUUUUAUUUAUGGGAAAAAAAGACAAGAAGGCCUCUAACAAGUGGGUAGCUGACAUAAUAACCCAUUUGCCCCUCACAUCUACCACCAAAAACUUCUUGGAGAAGAUGAGGAGGGCUUAUGAAUUUCUUUUGACUAAGGAACAGCAGCCCAACACUGACCCAUCAGCAGAGCCUGAUAACCCCACCAUGGAGCAG